CAGCCGCCGCGGUAAUACGAAGGGUGCAAGCGUUACUCGGAAUUACUGGGCGUAAAGCGUGUGUAGGUGGUUGUUUAAGUCUGUCGUGAAAGCCCUGGGCUCAACCUGGGAAUUGCGAUGGAUACUGGGCGACUAGAGUGCGGUAGAGGAUAGUGGAAUUUCCGGUGUAGCAGUGAAAUGCGUAGAGAUCGGAAGGAACACCAGUGGCGAAGGCGGCUACCUGGACUGAGACUGACACUGAGGCGCGAGAGCGUGGGGAGCAAACAGGAUUAGAUACCCCGGUAGUCCCUGUCUCUUAUAC
RNAcentral lists this ribosomal RNA (301 nucleotides) under uncultured bacterium. RNAcentral's name for it is "partial 16S ribosomal RNA". It matches the Rfam family "Bacterial small subunit ribosomal RNA", at positions 509 to 807 of the family's 1533-position model. The record is from RNAcentral.